GAUGAACGCUGGCGGCGUGCCUAAUACAUGCAAGUCGAACGAAACUUCUUUAUCACCGAGUGCUUGCACUCACCGAUAAAGAGUUGAGUGGCGAACGGGUGAGUAACACGUGGACAACCUGCCCAAAAGAGGGGGAUAACACUUGGAAACAGGUGCUAAUACCGCAUAACCAUAGUUACCGCAUGGUAACUAUGUAAAAGGUGGCUAUACUACCGCUUUUGGAUGGGCCCGCGGCGCAUUAGCUAGUUGGUAGGGUAAAGGCUUACCAAGGCAAUGAUGCGUAGCCGAAUUGAGAGGUUGAUCGGCCACAUUGGGACUGAGACACGGCCCAAACUCCUACGGGAGGCAGCAGUAGGGAAUCUUCCACAAUGGGCGAAAGCCUGAUGGAGCAACGCCGCGUGGGUGAAGAAGGUCUUCGGAUCGUAAAACCCUGUUGUUAGAGAAGAAAGUGCGUGAGAGUAACUGUUCACGUUUCGACGGUAUCUAACCAGAAAGCCACGGCUAACUACGUG
RNAcentral lists this ribosomal RNA (512 nucleotides) under uncultured bacterium. RNAcentral describes it as "partial 16S ribosomal RNA". It matches the Rfam family "Bacterial small subunit ribosomal RNA", at positions 28 to 507 of the family's 1533-position model. The record is from RNAcentral.